GAAUAAAGGGUAAAGUAAAUAUAAAAGUGAAAGUAAAAAAUGAAAAGUGUCAUUUUAAUCAGCUUGGUGCAUGUACGCUGGAGUGUGUCAGUUUGAGUCAGGCAGACGGCGCGGGGCUGCGAGGUAGAGAUUGGCUGGUGAACAUAUUAUCUCCACGAGACAGAAUCUCCAACAUCUCGGGGUGUGUAGGUGUGUGACUGAUUGUUGUGUUUGUUUGCGUGGCCGUAUGGGCGGAAGAGUGAGCCACGAGGCUGCCGGGGUGCGCGUGAGGACAAAUAUAAAAUGGGCAGGUGACAGUAAAUGUCCCUGCUGACAGAGAGUGCUGCAAUUAGUCCAGAUUAGUCACAGUGGCCUUCUGUGCUGAACCCCCACCUCUACACCACCUUCCGCAUCAGGACCGCAACACCUGUCUCCUAGCAACCUGCAUCCAGAUCUCAGGCAAGGGAUGCUGCCUCUGACACAAGAAUGGCAAGACGCACAUUCUCUGGUUCAGACAUCCAGGAGCUUGACGGUGUAAUGGUGCCACGGGUGAGCAGUGGACAAAGCACUGGAAUGCUGGAUUUCAAUAGGAGCGCACUUGGAAUGCUAGGACUGGAAUUUUAUUAUUCUAUUUACAAUGCAAAUGUGUUCUGAAGCCAGUUCAUAUUACUGGCACAGACAAACAUUUAAGCUACAGCUCUCUGCUAGUUGGACAACAUACAGUAUGAAGGUUCAAAACAAAUAAAAGGAAAAUUAUUUAAAAAAUGUA
Carassius gibelio (silver crucian carp) is the source of this 748-nucleotide long non-coding RNA. RefSeq lists it as uncharacterized. The record is from RefSeq and is a predicted model, not a curated record. Lineage: Eukaryota; Metazoa; Chordata; Actinopteri; Cypriniformes; Cyprinidae. The transcript has 2 exons.